UGAGGAUAUUUUGUUAAGGUCUCUCUGUCCCACUUAAUGCUGCAUCACAUGCUUGGCUCUGUUGAAUGCCUAGUGCCUAAUACAGUUCUGUCAGGGGAAGGUACUUAAUAUAUGUCUGUUGAGUGAACAGUUGGAUGAAUGAGAAGAUGGACGCUUUGUGGGGAGAUAGUCACUUUCUGGACAGAGUUGGCCUUGCGCUCAGCUGUGUUGCAUGUGUGGGGCCAGGCAGAGAAAUGGCCCUGAACUGCAGGUCUGGGAUCCUUUUCAUCCAGCAUCAUUUCUUCCCACAGGCCAGGCCACAAUCCCCUUGGUCCCUCAGACUGAGGAGGAGAACAGUGACAAGUAUGCAGAUCCUGAUGACUUGGGCAGCCUGUGGACCACACUGUCCACAUUUGUGGCCCUCUUCUUGCUCACCCUGCUCUACAGUGGCUUUGUCACCUUCAUCAAGGUGAAGCAGCCUUUCCACAGAGAGAUGGUCAAGAUUGGGAGAUACCCUGAAGCUGCAAAGAAGUGAAGCUCAGCCUCCAUGCACCAAACCUUGAUGCCAGAAAUCAGAGAGGACUCAGCCUGGACUCUGUGCAGGGAGAUGCUCCAGCCCCAUCUCUCAGUGCCCAUUCCACCCCUGUCCACCAUGGAGCCCAGCAUCCCCAAACACUUCUCAGGCUCCAGGGAGAAAGGCAGAGAGGACAGUGCUUACUUGGCAGGUCAAGCAGGUAGCCCUUCCUGCCCUGGCCCUCACCCUGUACCUUUCUGUGCAUCCCUCAAGCCAGGCACCUGCCUGUCCCAGAGCCAUCCAGGUCCUGACUGCAGCCUUCCCCUCUCCACUGACCUUCUAUGAACAUGCUUUGAUUCGUUUCAUCUGUCUUCUGUGUUACUGGGCUUGCCACAGGUCAGAGAACAUGAGGGAAAACUGAAGGAUUUAAGUUCCUGUCAAGGGGAUAUAAUCUCAAGGAAAAUCUAACUUUCUGCAUUGAAAUCUAAGGCAUGCUUCUCCCCACAUUAAGCACAUCCAUGCACACUUGCACAUACACACAAACAUGUGCAUACAUAGUCCCAUACACAUGCACAUGCAAUGCACAUUCAUAUACCUGUGAAACCCACAUACAUGUGAACAUUUGCACACACAGACAUGAACAUGCAUGUACACACACCAAGAAAAGGUGGCAGUAAAUGGUGGGAAGGGGGAACUAUACACACAGAGCACCUUCUGUAUAUGUUUCUACCUCUUACUUGCUGCAUGCCUGGGGGCAAUGCACUUAACUUUCCUGAGUUUCUGUUUCCUCCAU
Molecule: non-coding RNA, 1286 nt
Organism: Choloepus didactylus (southern two-toed sloth)
Lineage: Eukaryota; Metazoa; Chordata; Mammalia; Pilosa; Megalonychidae
Source: the annotation of a RefSeq genome assembly